This 5002-nucleotide long non-coding RNA is filed under the name Mus musculus (house mouse). RNAcentral's name for it is "long non-coding RNA chr17:5021861-5026863". Lineage: Eukaryota; Metazoa; Chordata; Mammalia; Rodentia; Muridae. The record is from RNAcentral.
CAGAGCUGCUUUUCCUUCCUGUUCCAACCCUCUCACCUUUAAGUUAGCCUCUGCUGUCCCGGAGAGCCUGAACCAAAUGACAGGCACAGAUUGCCUUGAAGGUCUGUGCACCCCAGAGAGGCAGUACCCCACUUGGUGAUUUGCAGAAGUUCUCUGGACAGGGCACCCAUAAUAGGAUCAAGGUCUUAGUGAGUGGUGUUUGCUUAGCGAUGGGAGAAGCAGAGAAGCCCAUAGUAGUUUCUGAGACACAAAUCCAUUCCAGAACUGCCACCAACACCAGUAUUUUGAGAUGCCGAAGUUCUUGUGUGGAGGGAGGGAGGUUAGCGGUAAAAUCUUGUUGACUGUGGGAGUGUGGAACAGCUGUGCGGAAUGCAUAUUCUUUCCUAACUUGUGGAUCUGCUUUCUUUGGCUGUAAACAAAUUGAGUGCUUGAUUUUUCUCAGAGUGUCAGUGGAUUAGGCACGACUCAGCCGGGCCCUCUGGAGGUCUGGGGUGGAGUGCGUCACAGUCCAGGGGCUGUCGGGGCUGUGUUCUGUGCAGGACUGAGGAGGGGGCAUUUUUACAGACUGUUGGCAGAAUUGUUUCUUGAAGUUGUAGAGUUUGCAGCAGUUUGCUUCUUCAGUGGCCCAAUAGAGGGAGAGUCACCGUGGCAGGGGCUUUCUGUUAAACUCACCUGAUUAGGCCAGGCUCACCUGGGACACUAAUCUAGGACCCCAGAAUUGACUGAUGAGGGAUUUGAGUUUCAUCCACAAAAUCGUUUCACAAUCUCACUGUUUUCCUGGUUAGAUGCAAGUGCAAGUCUUAAGAGGAAGGGAUUACAGAAAACCAUGGCUACCAGGAGGCAUAAGUCUCAGGGGCCUUUUCAGAGUUCUGCCUACCAUAGGUGGGGUGUUGCAGAGGCACAAGAUGCUAAUAGUUUGUGUUAGUCUGCUCAGGCUUCUGUGCAAAUGUAGCAGACUGAGUGCUACUUAAACAAGAGAAAGCAUGGCAUCAGAGAUCAAGGACAGCAAAGUCACUUUCAUCCUGAGGCCUCUUGGCUUGGAGGUGGCCAUGUCUCUUGGUUGGCUGCUCAUGUGAGUGAGAAGGGAUGCAGUAGGAUACCUCGUCCACCAGCCUCAAGGUUUUAGCUCACCGUUAGCAUUCUCUAUAGCUGUAACCCGUGUUCCGGCUUAUGGCUUCAACGGCUGGUUUUCCACAGUGGACGAGGGAUGACCUGGUUUCAUCCAAAGCUGGUCAGAGAGUUUUCAUUGGAGUGGAGCGUCAUGACAUUGCAGAUUUUGGGAAAUUCUAUUGUCAUUUUAUGACCCAGGGUAGGUCACCUGUUCUAGAAUGUAGGUUUUUUUUUUUUUUUUCAACGAAACUAGUGGUUGACGACAUUAGCUAUCUUGCAUGUAUUUAAUUAACAUUAAUUGUUUGGAGAGUCUGUAUUCAGAGAGAGAGAGAGAGAGAGUACUGAGUAUCCAGCACUCAGGUACUGUAGGAGCUGGUGCUUGCUCUUCUGCCAGUUCUCUCUGUGGACCUUUCAGACUUAGGUGUUGAUGCUGACACCCAUAAGCCCAUUUUAUACCACGCAUCCCUGUCAUGUCAUCGCCAGCUUCUGUUGCUGUGGUCUUUCAUAGAACUUUACACAUGAAUGUGGUUCAGUUUAAAUAGUGGAUGGAUGCAUGGUCAGAUGAGUAUGGCCUUUGAGAGAACCUGUUUUCUCCUUCCUCUCAACCAUUUUUAACCAUUUCUAACUCGGUGCCUCCUUUUGAGAAGUGUAAACUCUUUCUGCCCCAUCAAGUUCCCAUAUUGAACCUACCUAUACCCCCUACCCACCUCCCUUGAAGGAUAGAGCAGGGCUUUUCCUGCAAAUUUGUUCUGCUGAGAUGUUUCUUAAGCUGCUCCUUCAAAUAAGAGCGAGGCUUCUUGACUGGCAGGUUGUACUGUCUUUCCCCCUUCUUGAGAGGCCAGCCGCAGAGUCUCUCUGUAACCGAGGAAGGCGUUGAGCUCCGGAACCUUUGCCUCUCUCUUGAGCGCUGGGAGGACAGGCCCGUGUCUCCAUGGCUUGCCUGCCUGAAUGUGUGUUCUCAACUGCGCUCUCUGCCUCCCUCCCGGACCUGCUCUGUCAGCACGAUACAGCCAAGGGUCACCAGGGAAGAGUCUCAGUGAGAAAUGGCCUAGAUCAGGCUCUCUUGUCAGCAUGCCUGUGUCUGUGAGGGUGUCUGUCUGCCUCUCUUUCUUUUAUGAUUUAUUUCUUUUUAUUUUAUGUGCAUGGCUGUUUUGCCUCCAUGUAUGUCUGUGUGCGGUGUCACAGUUCCCAGAACUGGAGUUACAGGCAGUUGUGAGCUGCCCUGUGGCUGCAGGAUUGAACCUGGGCCCUCUGGAAAAUCAGCCAUUGCUCUUAACUGCCGAACCAUUUCUUCAUCUUCAGCCCACAUUUUCUUAAUUGGUUAAUUGAGUUGGAGGACUUCUCUUGAAUGUGGGCAACACAGUUUCGUGAGCACACGUGCCUUCCUCUCCUCUUGUGACCCUGGAUGUGCCAUGAUUAGUCCUGUAGAGUCCCUGCCUUGGCUCUCCCACAGUGACAGACUUUCACUUGGACUCAUUAGCCAAACCCUUCUCCUGAAGUUGCUAGCAGGCAUUUUGUCAGGGCAGCAAAAGUGAAGCUGAGACAGGAAGCAGGCUUUUGUUCUUACCUUUGGAGUUUUGCUCUCAACACUUGACACAUGUAGACUCCUGCUAGGGUUAAGUGUUUUGUUUUGAGGGUAGUGCUGAGUCUCCACCCUCUUGUGUGUGAGAGACUCCUCCUCCUUCGCUUUAGACCAGUAGUGAUUCUCAACCUGUGGGUCAAGACCCUUUGUGGGAUACACUGACCCUUUCAUAGGGGUUGCAUGUCAAAUAUCAUGUAUAUCAAAUAUUUGUAUUAUGAUUCAUAAAACUAGCAAAAUUACAGUUAUGAAGUAGAACUGAAGUAAUUUUAUGAUUGGGGCUCACCACAACAUCAGGGUCCUGUGAUGGUUGAAAACCAAUCCUGUUGUUUAAUGGGUCAGUGUGUGUGUGUGUGUGUGUGUGUGUGUGUGUGUGUGUGCGCGUGCGCACGUGUCUGUGUGUGUCUAGGGAGUGAGCCCAGACAUGCAUUCAUGGUGCCUGUUCUAAGCCUUUUGUAGAUACUACUGAUACUUAGGGUGUCCUUGUGAGCAUGGCAGAGUUGUGAAGCAGCGCUUAUGUGCAGUGGAGUAAUGUGGGGAGGGAGGUCAGCAGGACCGCUGUCCAGCUCACUCCAGUGGUGAGCAGAUGCAGAUGCCACCAGCCAUGGACGUGUCAUGCUGGCAUGCAGUGUGCUGGUGGGUAUGAUGGACCCAUUAGCUCUCUUCACCAAGCCAGCAAAUCAAAUACUUGGUUUCAAGAUGAUAGCAUGGUUUUGUAGGGGAACUUUGUUUUUAAAGGAAUUUUUGGGGACAUACAUAGGGAUUAAAAUUCAAUGCAGGAAAGGAAGGCAAAAUUCCAUAGGGCUCCAUCCAUCAGGACCCAUUUGAAAGAGGCCUUGUGUAGACUUGGGUUGUGUCCAGAGGGGAACAUUCCCACUAUACUUUGGAAGCCUCUUGCCUUAGGAUGGUCAGCCUGCUCUCAUGGACUGCUAGAGAUGGCAGAUAUGCAGGUGAAUUUGAGGGCCAAAAAUUGAGGGAUCUCUAAGACUUAAGGAUCUGGGAGGAAGUUGGACAUUCAUUUUGAAAAUGCAAGUGAAUAGUAAAGAGAGAAGUGGAACCUUGGCCUGGAUUUUCAUGUGUGCAGUGCCUUUGCAGUAUGGCCAUGUGGAUCAUACGGCUUCAGUAUGGGAAAAUGACAAUAGUUAAUGAAAACCCUUCUACCUUGUUGUGUAUUUCAGAGAUUAAUUUUUACACUGAAAACCUGUUCUAAGUGUAUCUUGUUUGUAUGCAAGUGUGUGCAAGUUGCAUGCAAGUGACAGUGUGUGUGCAGGUCAGAGGAUGACUUUCAGGGGUCACACUCAGGCUGUCAGGCUCGCUUUUACCUGCUGAGUUGUCUCACCAAACCCAAACCCCCAAAACACUCUUAUGUCCUGAUCUCUGUUAAUUGAUUGUGAUAACAGGGUUAUCGAUAGACUAUUAAACAGUGAUCAAGGAAUUUAAUAAUAAAACUAUAUCAAACAUUCAAAUAUUUUUGAAAAUCAAUGAUGCAUGUUUAUAUGUGCUUGAAAAAAUAGAUUUUGGUGUCUUGAUGGUAAGUUUCUAGAAUUUUGCUAGCAAAUAGGCUGAUACUGCUGUAAAUCCAUUUGGUGGAUCAUGUGACACACUUGUGCCUUUACUUCUGGCCUAGGGAUAAUGUGACUUUCUUGCUUUUCUUUCAUUAUCACCUUUUUCCCUCAUCCAUUUUUAAAAUAGCAAUGCUUUUCAUACUGUCAGAAUCUCAUGUUGUGACACCCUACUCAGCAGUUGUGACAGUAGGUAAUGACAGCAACUGCCUCCUGAGAAUCAAUCAGGCAAUUAAUUUUGUAAAUGAAAUGCUGAUUAUACAAAGCUUCACGUGAGAGGCCCAGUGAUUAAAAUCAAUUUAACAAAUUGUUUCAGGUGGGGCUUGAUUAAUAAUUUGCCAUAAAUGCUAAGGAUCUAUGACCAGCAUACCUGCUGCUGUUCCAUCCCUGCCAAGUCUGCAGGUGGCCUUCCGUCUACAUCCAGGUAGAGGAGUCAGGCUUCACCAAGUUUCUCAUGCUUUGAUUGUUUGUGAGCCCUUGCCUGCAGUGAAUUGGAACACACACUUAUGCUUUUUGUAUUAUCAUAGUUCAUGUGGACUGCUUGUAAAACUAUUGGAGGGCUGGAGAGAGAACUCAGCAAUGACUUUUUCAGAGGACCUGGGUUCAAGUCUCAGCACUUACAAGAUGGCUCACUGCUGGCUCUGAUUUCAGUCUCAGGGGUUCUGUCGCCAUCUUCUGGCCUCCAAGGGCACCAGGCAUGCAAGUGUUACAUGACCAUACAUGCAAACAAAACACCCAUACAUAGGAAUUU